Oncorhynchus tshawytscha (Chinook salmon) is the source of this 1044-nucleotide long non-coding RNA. The record is from Ensembl. Lineage: Eukaryota; Metazoa; Chordata; Actinopteri; Salmoniformes; Salmonidae.
GUCUAUAAUGAUUAUUUUUAGAUAACAAAAUGUGGUUGGCAUGAGUUGCAUGGUAACGUAUAGCACCGAGGUAGAGACAGUUUCAGGUUGGAUAUCCAACGAAUAUUCACCUGUAGUUUUCCUUACAUCCACCAACAGCAGUUACGAACCGUCAACAGAGUGACAAAUCAAAUGUUCAAAUUUCAAUAGCUCUUUAACCAUUACUUCCUAAAACUUUCAAAACUGGUUGUAGCUAACCCGAUGGCAUAGACACACAUUGCACCCACUUUUUUUUGCCGAUUUACAUCUCGCACUAUUUAAAAUUAUUUAUUAACAUUUUUGAAUAUCAAUAGCUCAUUGGUCAUAUGACCUUUUGACUUCAAACAAGGUGCAACAUGUACACUGACUACCCUUCUAUAUUGCACACUUGUUUGUGUACUGUAAAAUCACGCGGUGUAACAUACAUUUUUCAUAGUUUUAAAUUUCAAUAGCUCCCUUGGUUAUGUCAAUUACACACAUACAGUAAGAAAUUGCAAAACCUCUAGUCAUUUAUAUUCUAUAUUGUUGUACAUUAAUAUUAGUUUGACAAUUAGGGGUUUCAGUCCAGUGUUGUGUUUACCCUUUUCUUUAAUAUUUAUCUAUAAUAAUUGGUAGUUCUAAGUACUUAUUUUUGCUGUUUUCUAUUUUUCCACAGUAUUUAACAGCAGUACACAAAAGGAGAUAGACAGAUAAUAUCUCCUUUCAUUGUUAAUAUCAACCAUAAAGGAAAAGGGCAAAGUACGAGAGUCAUGUUAUUAAUUGUCCAAAGGCGGGAUGGAGAGUGAGCUGAUGAGGUGGGCUACAGUGGGUUUACUGGUCAAUACAUAUACUGAACAGGGAUGAAGAAUGAGCUAGUGAGGUGGGCUGCAGUGGGUUUGCUGGUCAAUACAUAUACUGAACAGGGAUGGAGAAUGAGCUAGUGAGGUGGGCUGCAGUGGGUUUGCUGGUCAAUACAUAUACUGAACAGGGAUGGAGAAUGAGCUGGUGAGGUGGGCUGCAGUGGGUUUGCUGGUCAAUACAUAUACU